GAUGUUCUUUUAACUUGAGGUUGUAGAAAAGAGAACAGAGCGUUAAACAGAAUUACAGAGUUCAAGAGUUUUGACUUCUCUUUAUGGUCGUAGAGAUUGAACAGGUGAUCUAUUAAUUAUAAAGAAAAACGAAUAUGGCUUAAUGGUAUCUAAGACUUUUAUUUCCAUUCAUCUCUUCAAUAUCAAAAAUGGAAGUAACAGAGUUGACUUCCCAGUUAAUCAAUAAUCAAAGGUAACAAACAGAACCACAAUGACUGGAAGAGAAAGAGCAGAUCACAAUCAGUCAACAAGCAAAACAUGCCAUGAUCAAAGCAGAAGAGAUGAUAGGGGAGAGGAGAGCUUUUAAAAGACUGUAUUUAUGACUUCUGCCGUCUUACAUCCUGAGUGUGGUGCUUUAGAGUACUGGUUCUCAACCUUCUUACUGCUUUAACGCUUUAAUACUGAAGGGGCUCUAAAGGGUGAGCAUGGCAAACAGAGACCAUGCACUGCAAACACAGGCCUGAGCAAGGCAAACAUUGUAGACAGGUUUUGUCCUUUAACCCUUUUCCAUCUUCCUUGCUAAAAAAACAAAACAACAACAAAAAAAAAACCUUUAUGUUCAGUAAGCUACCCUCCAAGGUCUAUUCCACCAUUUGCCCACUGACUCAUUCUUGAGACAAAACAAUGAUGUCCAAAGUUUUUUUUUUUUUUUAAGUCAUUAUUUGCCUAGCAUAUUCAAUAAGGAUUUACCUACCCACCCUAGCAUAGACUCCUCAUUUUACCCCUUAAAAACUCACUCCUGUAGAAACACUCUCUUUUGCUUUCUUGCUUGUGCUUGCUUGGGGUUGUUGUUGACUUUGCAGCCCACCAACUUGCCCCUCUCUUAUAAUCGACUCCAUGCUAAAAAUUUGGUGACUGGGUACGUCCAAUUCUAAGAUGGCUGACCCCUCAUGUAAUAUAUAGUUCCUUAUGUUAUGGUGACUCCCCAACCAUGAGAGUGUUUUCAUUGCUACUACAUAACUAUAAUUUUAAUAUUAUUAUGAAUCAUAAUGUACAUAUCUGUGUUUUCCAAUGGUCAUAGGAGUCUCCAGUUACAAAGCUAUUCAAAGCCUGGAGGGAUUCCUACCCAUGGGUUGAGAACUACUGGUUUAGGUGUUCAGUCAUGCUGACACCCAGCCUUUUGAACUCUUUAAUAGCAAAUUAGCUUAAACAGUUAUCUGGAUGAUAAAAACUAAAUUUUUGUACAGAUCACUCAAAAUCAUUUUCAUUUAAUAAACAUUUGUUGUUGUGAUGUAAAAUGCACAUCAACUGGAAUCAGCUCUAAGGUAAGCCCUACAAAAGAGAAAAUAGCAUCCGCAGCAUGAUUAACACAUUAAAUACAUUGUGCGAGCUAUUCAGUUUCCUUGGUUUCUAUCUAGAUUGCUUCCAUCUAAUGAGUAUGGUACUUGAAGAAUUCUUUUUGUAGUGGUGUGGCUGCUGGUAGCAACAACAAAACCCAGGACAUUCUGAAACUUGUGGGUCCUCAAUCACUAAGCUAUGGCCACAGCAUAUGACGUAGUAAGAUGUUUUCAACUCAAAGUGAUAGAUUAUAUAAAUUGUUACACAAUUAAAAUAUCAUAUUGAAUGGCAGCUGGAACUACUCUCUCUAGAAAGAUUGCUCUGACUUAGAGCAAGAUAACUGACUGCUACCCAAGAAGUUUAUCAUUCAAAUGAAUCAUGAACUGAUAUAAUUGGUAAAGCAUUUUAAUUUCCAAGAAAAAGAGAAGACUAAGACAUAUAUUCUCUCUUUGAUAUUUUCUUGGAAGUAAAAUCACUGCUUAUGUGCGUCUAGGCCACUUACCAUGUGACCUAGGGUAGUCUUGAACCCCAGAUCCUUCUCUUUCUCCCAAGUGCUAGACUACAGAGAUGCUUUUACUAUGUUCUGGCUUAGUCUUGUUUUACAAUGAGCAUUUUAAAUAGGAAAGUAAUAAAACUUACCUCUUAAUUUGAA
This 1969-nucleotide long non-coding RNA is filed under the name Mus caroli (Ryukyu mouse). RNAcentral describes it as "predicted gene 15679 (MGP_CAROLIEiJ_G0004140.1)". The record is from RNAcentral. Lineage: Eukaryota; Metazoa; Chordata; Mammalia; Rodentia; Muridae.